ACGCACUUCUUCGGCCCGCAGACCGGCUCAGCUUACGUCUUAUCCAAGGUAUCUCCUUGUACAGCUUCACUCUCGCUUGUGUGUCUCAUGCAAAAAAAUCAAGAUACCUAGCACCGGCUCUUAUUUCUCUAUGCAUACGUAGUGUUUGUGCCGAUUCUUAUUUAUAUGUGCCUACUUGGAAUACAAUUCUUAUUUGUCUGAACCAGUGAGCAUUUCGUUCGGCUUGUUUCUGUCCAUGAGUAACAUUUUUUUGAAAAGCAUAUGUACAUAUUUAGGAAUCCAGCUAUGCUUUGUGCACUUUCUGCUGAGCUAGGGAAUGUUCACCUCAGCUAGCAAGAACCUGUUAGAGGCUGUGAUAGAUCAAAAGUGAAAGGAGUAGUUGCACGCUUAAUAUUAAGAUAAAGGACAAAUCCACAACAAUGGUGAUGGAGAUCUAUUUUAGCAAACUCCUCAUUUUGGUUCUGAAGUUGUUUUCCCUUUUCAGUGAAGGAGCUGGUUUUGCGGCAUCUGUUGAACUUAGUCAAAUUAGGUGUGUUGUGUAUGUACCUUGGAGCUGAAAAUGUAACAUUAGCUCUAGAACUGGUUGCCUAUACUGAAGAAAUACAGGUUGGUAUUUUCAUCCCACUACUGUACAAUUUAUGUUAUUUUGUACAAUAUUCAUUUGGGGUAUUUGGUCUGUUAUAUUUAACUUCAUUUCUCUUCACAUUAUUGCCACGACAGAUACAUAUAUAGACUGAGGCUUGUGUCUCCUGGGUGUAGCUCUCAUCACCAUAACAAAGGUAUGCUGUCCAUUCUUAUCUUUUUUUUUCCAAUGGCAUUAUGCUUAUAACCUCUCUGAUGAAAUGGUCAAACGAAUAUUUGUAGUUGAAUCAUCUUGAUGCAUAAUAGAAGAGUUGCUGGGUUUGGACAUGAGCAUGAUCAAUUAUUGUGGCCUUGCUGUUUCUUGAAAGAUAGUGUGCAAAAAGUUUGUUUUGCUCUUGGAAGGUGUGUGUGAGAGUUUGAGAAAAAAACUACUGCUUUACUUAUGUUUCAACUCCGGUGAGGCAUGUUUGUACAGGUAGUGAAAAUAUGGUGCUUAUGAUUCUCUCGCUGAUUUGGGGAUUUUGAUAGUAGAAUGUGGUUCUAGCCUGGUGCUGCGGUUCAUUCAGUUUCAAGGGAAAUGAUAUAUGUGUGGUUUCUUUGCUUUACAUAAGAUGCAUUAUGUGUUGUCUUCAUCUUGGUAACAUGUGGGCAGAUGUGAUACAUUCUUCAUGUUUCUGGAUUUGGUGCAGGUUCGAGGGUGUAAAUCUACCUGAUAUAUUGUUGACGGGGAUUGAGUAUUGUAGUGAUAUAUCUGAGAAUUUUAAUGAUCUAUCUGCUACCAGGUACUGUACUCAACACAAUUUUUUUGUGUGUGAUUCAACUCAUUUAACUUCAUGUUAAUUUGCUAACAAACCUCCUGCUGCUACAGAUUUCUUUGUACAAUACAUACAAAUUAUUGAUAUGGUAUUUAAACAAUGAAUAAUAGAUGUAAUUAUCCUGUAUGUCAAAUCUACUACUGUUAUUCUCAUAUGGUGAAUCUAAAUACUUCUUUGUAUCUUAGUCAUGAAAGUUCAAAGGCAAAUUUCCGUUGAUCUCAUUAAUUAGUGGUCUGAUUAACUCUCUCCCUCUCACCUCACAUGUAAAAAGAGAAGGUAAGAGGGACCAUGUUAAAAUGUGCCGUUGAGUACAUCCUGCAUCAGUGAGAUAUCAUGCUCAUUAUACCUCAGAGUUGCUAAUAUUUUUCUUUUCACAUAUAGUCCUCUCCUCUUGUCCCCGUUUCUCCAAUGAAAACUGUACUUCAGGCCAAAUGCUGAAGCCUUUACCUUCUUAAUGCUCUGUUUUAUUUGUGUUAACAUGUAUUCCUCAUGAUUACUGUGCAUACUUCUUUUUGAUUUUCUGUAUAGACAAUGAAGGAGAUGGACAAACAUAUAGCUCUAUGGUGAGGUACUAAUUCAACUUUUCUGGUUUUAAUUACCAGUUGUUCUGUGUUCGACUGAGCUGCGUAUAUUUCGUGUUAGCCUUUCGCUGAUUUUAGAACUGACCGCGUUUUGAUGAUUGGUGGUUACAGGGUUGCAUGGAGUACGAAGGCUUGUAUGCUGCAAGAGAUUUAGACACCCAGUUGCUGAUCUUCAGCCCCUUGAUGUUGGUUUACCAAUCUGCAUUCCACACUCUUCAAAGGUUCCGAGGAAGGUGAGUUUUGUAAGUACCAGUCUCUGCAAGAACGCUAAUCUCGGUUCAUUUUCCAUAAAUUUGCAAUAGUUUGUUAUUUGCCGGGACCAACUUUAACUAGGUUGAAAUAAUGAUAUUUUUUGUUCAUUUUAUCUGUUUGUAACACUCUACGUUUUAUUAAUGCAUGAUAGGUGCCUCUAUCAGCCAUUUUUGAACCAGAUAUGCAGCAGCAAGGGAGUAGCCCUAUCACUCUCGAUCAAAACCUCAAAGGGCGAAGGGAGAACGCAACAACAUUCUUCUAUGAUAGUUAAUGUUGUCCCACCUAUACGUUUUAUUAAGGCAUGAUAGGUGCCUCUAUCAGCCAUUUUCUACCAUGUACGGCUGAUACAUGUUAACUGCCAGUUUGUACAGGUACACAGUUGUGUGAUACCCAUGAAUUUUAGUCAGAGUAAUUAUAUGUUCUGUUAUCAUGGUCACUAGAUUUUGUUGAGUACCUUAGUGCUCAACUUAGGAACAACUAAUUGCCAUCUUAGGUCACUGCAUUCCCAAAAUAACUAUGGAAAGUUUACUUUCACAAUACAGUCACAUAUCCAUGUCCCAUUUUUCUUUGUGGUUUCUAUCUAUAUAUUCAGAUUGGACGCAUUUAUAUUGAGUACUUAGAAAUUUACAUAUGUUUCCAGUUGCAUUUUAGUUUAGACAUGCUCUGAUAAUAUGCAAAGUAUGUGGCACAAAAUGAUGGUGCUGGUGUUAUCAAUGGGGUCCAAGGAAAUUUGCACAAAAAUUUAAACAAAAUGAUUAUGCCAUCAAUACUUUCUGAAGCCUUCAACUUUCUCCCUUUUGUCCCUAAACAUGUCCUGUGUUUACGCAAGGUGCAGCAGCAGCAGGUCAUCCACUUCUACCCAAGUUGCCAUGGAAAAUCUAAUGGGUUUACGACUAUCUCAGUUCAUAAUGGUGUGAGCUUUGUAGGAGUGGGAUAUCAUAUACAGUAUGAUAGAUAUGGAAGACAACAAGCAAAAAUUCAAUUAUGAGGUGAUGGUUGAGCUGAUCAGUACAACGUUGUCCCGAAUUUUCUUUUGAUUCUGUUUCUUCUUGGUUUGCAGAUGAUCGGCUGUUUCAAUCUUUUUCUUCUGCUUACAGUCCACCAACAGGAUUGUUGAUGCCCGCAGGAGGGGGACAUCGCAGUAGAUGGGCUGAAGUAGGAGGCUGAGAGAAAUGGGAAACAACGGAUUCUAGCACAUAGUAGAUGCCUAAGAUGUCACUGAAGCGCUAUUGAG
This 3464-nucleotide long non-coding RNA is filed under the name Triticum aestivum (bread wheat). Its description in RNAcentral is "long non-coding RNA (TAES_LNC001177)". Lineage: Eukaryota; Viridiplantae; Streptophyta; Magnoliopsida; Poales; Poaceae. The record is from RNAcentral.